Xenopus laevis (African clawed frog) is the source of this 2080-nucleotide long non-coding RNA. RefSeq lists it as uncharacterized. Lineage: Eukaryota; Metazoa; Chordata; Amphibia; Anura; Pipidae. The transcript is spliced from 3 exons. The record is from RefSeq and is a predicted model, not a curated record.
UUUCAUACCGAAGUGCAUAUUGUUCAACGUGCUGGCUCGGCUCAGAAAUCACAGCCACUGAUGCAAGGAGAGUGAUGCGUAUGCACAACACACGGGUGCGUAAAAAAAAUGCCUCCUAGAUUUGGAUUGGUUGGUGGGCGGGACUUGAAGCAGGGGCAGACGGGCCAAGCAGAGGAGACGGCCACAGGCCGUGAAGGUUUACACUGCUGCUGAAGUGAGCGGAUAUGUGGGCGAAUUGGCUGCACUGACAGAGCUCCUCUCUCUUCAGCGUCUGCAGGCAACUGACAAGGGGGUGUGUAACCUGAUCCUGCAAGAGCUCUUACUUCCUGCCCCUGAUUGACAGCUCACUGUUCCUCAUGUAAUUUGAGACGCAUAGUGAGGCACACAGUCACGUCUUUAACUGUCUCCAUUAUCUGCAAUACCUAGCUGUGUUCCAGAAGAGAGAAAGUGAAAAUGGACCAAGAAAAUAUAAUUGCUGAUUCUCCAGCUGAUACCUCUGUAGAGAUAGAGGAUGAUUCCAUAUCUUCUUCCGAACCAUCGAUGGCAAAGGAUGAAAGUGUAAUAUAUCUAAUAAUUUUAUUAUAUACUUGAAAUUAUCAUUUCUGUAAUAGAGAUAAUGCAUAUAUAAUUUAAAAUAAAAUGAUAUAUGUUGGUAUCUUUAGUAUACAUAAACUUGUAUAUACACGACUCUUCAAAUUGUUACACCCUUAUAAAUUUUUUGCAUUUUUAGAAGUAAUGCAUAAUAUAAGAGUCCAACUUUUGUUUCCUCAUUAGGACUUCUCUCAAGGUACAAAUUAGGACCCAAACGUUAUACUCUUAUAUCAUCCAUUGUUAAUAAAAAGGAAUAUAUUUUACAAGGUUGCAGUGCCGGGCCAACACGGGCAGGCGCCCUAGGCAGGCUGGCCCGGCAAAGCACCCAAUACGCGAGUGCGCAUGUGCGAAAAGACACAAGUGCGCACGCGCACUAGUAUUUUUCGCGCAUGCGCACUAGUAUUUUUCGCGCAUGCGCACUCGCUCAAACGCGCAUAUCGGCCAGAGCAGGGACCGCACUAGGGGAUAGCAGUGGCAGAGAAGGUGCUUUUCCUACCACUAGUUUCAGCCAUGCAAGGUUGUGACAGUUCGAAGAAUCGUGUAUAUAAAAGUUGUUUACCUAGAUUCCUAAAAGGAAAUAUGGCCUUUGAGUGUGGAUACUCAAAACAUCGUUAUAUGAUUAUAUUGAAAUAUAAUUAUUUUUCAUCAUCGCAUGAGAAAUAACCUUGGUGAUUCAGUUAACGGCCAAUGUGUCCCUUACAAUCCGAUCUGGACGCCUCAAGUGAGAGAAUGAAGAAGGAGACAGAGGGAAGACCCUAGAGUAGGGAAUACUAAUUGGUGCAAAUGUGGUAACUGCAUACCUAUGCCGACAGCACGAGAAUCGGUUUGUUGUAAGGACAUAACAAAUCUAUAGCAGCAUUUCUCUGACGAUGUACAGUGUAUUACCCAUGUCCAAGAAAUGCUGGAUCACUGUGUAGAAAAGAGAUAUCUUGAAUUUACAAUAAGGAAUGGAAGGAUGGCUACGCAGAUCGAGAUGAAUAAUCACUAUAACAGGUAAGGUUUUUCAUUUGUUUCACUGUCCUAUCACUGUCCUAUCACUGUAUAUGCUUUUCCUAUAUCCAUAUCUUUCUUCUCUCUCUCUUUUUUCUCUUACACUGUCUCUGUCACUCUGUCUUCAUAUCUAUUGUCCUCUCCUUUGUUUCUAUUUUCAGCCUUUUAACAUUUUUUUUUUGUAUUGGCAGAGUUAUGCGCAGAGGUGCCUAUAGAGCCUUUACUACAUGGACCCAUGGAUUUCUUGGACAAAAAAAUCGAAUUGUCAUUCCAGCUUGUUUUGUGAAUUUAAUUAGACUUACCUUGAUCCUGCUGGAAUUUAUGUAGGUUUUAAACAAGCAGAGGAUGAUCCUGCUUUAAAAAUGGCUCUUGAUUAAAAUGUUAUUUUUUUGCAGAAUUUAAAUACAAAUAGUUGUAAUAAAUGAUUAUAGUUUGUAUUGUGUAUCCGUAAUUUAUCUACUUAUUGUAAAAAAAUUUGAAAUAAAGCUUUUUUACAAUU